RNAcentral lists this ribosomal RNA (460 nucleotides) under uncultured bacterium. RNAcentral's name for it is "partial 16S ribosomal RNA". It matches the Rfam family "Bacterial small subunit ribosomal RNA", at positions 338 to 795 of the family's 1533-position model. The record is from RNAcentral.
CCUACGGGUGGCAGCAGUGAGGAAUAUUGGUCAAUGGACGAGAGUCUGAACCAGCCAAGUAGCGUGAAGGAUGACUGCCCUAUGGGUUGUAAACUUCUUUUAUAUGGGAAUAAAACAGGGUAUGCAUACCCUCUUGUAUGUACCAUAUGAAUAAGGAUCGGCUAACUCCGUGCCAGCAGCCGCGGUCAUACGGAGGAUCCGAGCGUUAUCCGGAUUUAUUGGGUUUAAAGGGAGCGUAGGUGGAGUGUUAAGUCAGUUGUGAAAGUUUGCGGCUCAACCGUAAAAUUGCAGUUGAAACUGGCAGUCUGGAGUACAGUAGAGGUGGGUGGAAUUCGUGGUGUAGCGGUGAAAUGCGUAGAUAUCACGAAGAACUCCGAUGGCGAAGGCAGCUCACUGGACUGCAACUGACACUGAUGCUCGAAAGUGUGGGUAGCAAACAGGAUUAGAUACCCGAGUAGUC